GAUGGUGCAGCGGGACGCACUCGGGACUUCCGUGUGCGGGGGGUCCUGUGGUCGGGCUGUCCUUGUCCCGGGCUGGUCCUCCAACCCCUGCUCCUGCAGGGCUUCUGCUUUCGGAUUCUGUUUCGGGGGGGCGUGCACCUGCACUUCAGACGGCGUGGCCCUGGAUCGGGAGAUUGGGUGUAUCUGCCGUGUAGGUUUUGACCAUGGGUAUACUAUACAUUUUUUGGAUAAUAUACACCAAACAGUGAAAGCUAAACUGCAGGACGCAUCCCAGGGCGACCAUCAGCAAAGAGCCCAGCUAAA
This 303-nucleotide long non-coding RNA is filed under the name Androctonus crassicauda. The record is from RNAcentral. Lineage: Eukaryota; Metazoa; Arthropoda; Arachnida; Scorpiones; Buthidae.